Medicago truncatula (barrel medic) is the source of this 182-nucleotide microRNA precursor. It matches the Rfam family "MIR2619 microRNA precursor family". Lineage: Eukaryota; Viridiplantae; Streptophyta; Magnoliopsida; Fabales; Fabaceae. The record is from Rfam.
AAACAGUCCCCUAUGUAUUGGAUCUUUGGCAGUUUUGGCCCCCAAGGCCAAUUUUGACUUGGCCUUUGCUGACGUGGCGUCAAAACUUGGCCCCCUAUGUGGGUGCCACGUCAGCGAAGACCAAGUCAAAAUUGGCUUUGAUGACCAAAACUGUCAAAGAUCCAAUACAUAUGGGGCUGUUU